UACAGCUUUUGAUUAGUGUGCAGUUUUAUAUCCGUUUGGAUCUGUUUUUUAAAGACAGUUGAAUUGCACAUUACAGCUGUGUACGGUUUCAGAUCAUAGAUUUUGGAUCAGCGUACUAUUUUACAUCAUGAAUAGGACAACAUUUCGCAGGCAAAAGCCCAGGGAAGAUCUCAUUCCUGUACAACUACCUGUGUGUGGUUCAGACUCAGACAUGCCUAGACUGAGACCACAACCGCCACCGCUUAAACGGAGACCACAACCACCGCCACCGCCUAGACUGAGACCAAAACCACCGCCUCAACGACACCCAGAGGGCAUUGUGACGAUGAGGGAGCGCUUUCACCAGAACAGAAUUAUGAUGAGAGAAAAGUCCCCGAUGUCCAGCCGAGGGCAGUUUGUCGAGCUUCCUCCUAUCCCCAGCUCUUCCCAGCCCACAGCUAAGCCAGUCCAGCAAACUGUUGCACAACAAAUGCCCAAGGAAGUAAGGACCAUGAACCAUUACAAAAAGGAAGAGGAAAAAGCACCGGAGAAGAAGUCGGCGUAUUUCAGCCCUAUUGCCUUCGGCUGUUCCCAGCCCAGAGGCUUGUAUUCACAAUCAAAAUACGAACCCAUAAGAAGACCAAACAAAUAUGCAACGCUCGAGUCUCCAACAUUUCCCUCCAUGUUUGAUGAGUGCGAAAAGCCGAUGCUGUCGCUGCCUGUCCGAAGAAAAGUUGCCUUCGGCUCUACCCAGCCCAGUGGCAGGUAUCCAUACCAAAUAGACGAGGUCUGGAGAAGAAUGGACAUUUUUCCAAAGUGCAUGCACAGGCCCCAAUGUCCUCCUUGGCUGUCUUGUGAGACAUGCCUAGACUGAGACCACAACCACCGCCUCAAAAACACCAUUGCGACGAUGAGGGAGCGCUUUCACCAGAACAGAAUUAUGAUGAGAGAAAAGUCCCCGAUGUCCAGCCGAGGGCAGUUUGUCAAGCUUCCUCCUAUCCCCAGCUCUUCCCAGCCCACAGCUAAGCCAAUCCAACAAACACAACAAAUGCCCAAGGAAACCCGUUCUUUGUACCUGGCUUAAAACAUCCGAGAUCAAAUGAGACAUCCAAGAUAAUAUCAUCAAAUAUCAAAAAAAUAUGUUGCCAUGAGUUAUUGAUAAAAUUUCCCCCCAGUAUCACUUCAAUACACUAACACUUUUAUGUGUUCCCAAGCAAGUGGCUGAAGCAUGUGCAGUAAGUGGACUUUUUCUAAUGUUACAUCAAAAGGGAAGAAAGUACAACAUUUUGUAAUGCCCAUUUUUCCCCAAUGCACAGGACAGUGAAGAAACCCUCUCAGGUAUCUUUAAGUGCAUACAUAGCUUUACUUGAUUUACACUUGAUUGCAUUUAUUUUUGAAUGCAAUAUGAGUUGCAGGAGUCCACAAAUACAGAAGAGUCUGCACAAAGCAGUGAGGCAGAGGUGGGCAGUGUUUUACUUUUCCUUUUAAUUUUUGAUGCAUAACCCAUGUGUUGACAGGUUCACCCCCUACCCGAGUAUUUUGAAAAUACUUGACAACUUAAAGAAAAAAAAAACUGGCACUAGAGAUGGAGUUGCUUCAUAGGAACUUCAGAAUAAGUGCACACAGAGUACAAUAUUAUUUGCAGGCAAAAGAUGACUUGAUCACUGGCUUUUCUUUACAAAGAAUCAUUCAAAUAAAACUCAAAGAACUAAGCAUAUUUGUCUUGUCUUUUAUUAAACAUUAAUGAAAUGUUUUAUAUUUUUUCUGAUGGUGCAAUGUUGUGUAA
Pimephales promelas (fathead minnow) is the source of this 1765-nucleotide RNA transcript. RefSeq lists it as uncharacterized. The record is from RefSeq and is a predicted model, not a curated record. Lineage: Eukaryota; Metazoa; Chordata; Actinopteri; Cypriniformes; Leuciscidae.